GGGGUUUGCCACAGGUUCAGAAGGCCUGAUAUGGGGGAGGAUAAACUUUAGGCACCCCUCAUCUGUGAAAAGCUUGUGGAGGCCAGAGAGAGAGGGGUGGAUUUCUUAAUCCUCCCUCUGCCUUCUAACAUAAUCUUUCUCCCUAUCCAGAGCAUCAGUAGGAUGAAUUAGCUGGCAUUCAGGUUUGGGUAGGAAUCAAGAAGUACCUGGGAAGAGACAAGCAGCCAUUGCCCGUCCCUUGGCUAGUGUGAAAACUGUAUUUGAUUACAUUUACUUCUUACCCAUAAUCCCUACCUUCCCCUAUUCCUCUGCUCAUUCUUUAUUGCCAUUCUUUAGCAUGUAAACUCCUAGGAGACAGUGAUCAAUGUUAUUUUGCCUCUUUUUUUGCUGAUUCAGCACUGUACCAGACACAUUAAUAGUGCUGUGAAAUAAUAAUAAUAAUAAUAAUAAUAAUAAUAAUAAUAAUGUACUCUUUGUAGAAAUAAAUAGCUGCAUUAAUCAAUGAAGUGAUUUGGUGGUCAGUGGGGUAGAAAGGAAGAGAAUAUUCUUUUAGAAUCAUAGAUUUGUAGAGUUGGAAGGGGUCCUGAGGGUCAUCUAGUCCAAUCCCCUGCAAUGCAGGAAUCUUAGCUUAAGCAUCCGUGACAGACAGACAGCCAACUCUGCUUAUAAAUCUCCAAGGAAGAAGAGGCCACCACUUUCUGAAUGAGUCCGUUCUACUGUCGAACAGCUCUUAAUGUCAGAAAGUUCUUCCUGAUGUUUAGUCAGAAUCUCAUUUCUUGUAACUUGAAGCCAUUGGUUCGGGUCCUACCCUCCAGAGCAGGAGAAAACAAGCUUGCUCCUUCUUCCAUGUGGCAGCCCUUGAGAUAUUUGAAGAUGGCUAUGAUACCUCCUCUCAUUCUCCUCUUCUCCAGGCUAAAAGGACCCAAGUCCCUCAACUGCCCCAAAUUGCUGGGUUUCCAGAACCUUGAUCAUCUUGGUCUCCCUCCUCUGCACGUGUUCCAGCUUGUCAAUAUCCUUCUUGAAUUGUGGCACCCGAAACUGGACACAGUAUUCCACUAUACUUCUGUUGAUGCCGCCUAGAAGAGCAUUCACUUUUUUUGCUGCUGCAUCCCACUGUUGACUUAUGUUAAGCUUGUGGUCUGCUAAGACCCCUAGAUCCUUCUCACAUGUACUGCUGGUAAGCCAGGUGACCCCCAUCUUGUAUCCUGCCAAAGUGUAGAACCUUGCACUUGUCCCUACUGAGAUUCAGUUUGUUAGUUUUGGCCCAGUUCUCCAAUCUGUUGUGUUGAAUUCUGAAUCUAUCUUCUAAGCCUAAGGUAUUAGCUGCCCAUCCCAGUUUGGUAUCACCUGCAGAUUUGAUGAGGCUGUCCUCAGUUCCUUUGUCCAAGUUGUUUAUGAAGACCUUGAACAACAACAAAUCCAGGACAGAACACCGUGGCACCCUACUUGUCAUUUUUUCCCAGGCUGAUGAGUAACCAUUAGUGAGCAUUCUUUGGGUUCCGUUAGUCAACCAGCUACAAAUCCACCCAACAGUGAUGUCAUCCAGUCCAAACUGCUAUCUUUCAGCCUCAGAUCCCUACCAUCAGAUAUGGUGCCAGAAUCUGGGGGACCAUCAGAGCUGGGCUGCCAAUGGGGGACUUCUACACACCCCAGCACACACACACCCCAACACACACACACACAGAGAGAGAGAGAAGUGCAGCCACAGCAUGCCUAGAAACUGACUUCAGCUUCUGGUCCAAAGUGGUACUGCCACUUGCCCACCACUGAAAUGUCUGUUGGGGGCCAGAUCAAGAGGGUGGUAAGUGGCAGGACCACAAAGUUGGUCCAUUGAAGGGUCCUUCUGAGCUUCUGAAGUCCAUGGCCAAUGCCUAACCUAGCUGACCACUGGCUCCAGGCCUGCAAUAUAAUCCUAAGGAAAUUGACCUCCCUUAUAGGAUUACUAGUACAUAAGUACAGUACUUUGGACACUCAAAAAGUGCCAUGGGCAAUGGUAUAGCUAAGUAGUUUUAGCCCCUAGACUUAGUGGCUUUAAUUGCCCCCCUUUAAUUGCCCCACAUGUACAACUUCAGUUGUGAAACACAACCUUGACAUUUCUCUUCUCCCUCACCCAGCCAUUCCACGCUUUUCACAACUGUCACAACAUUCCUGAUGCGUUAGCAAACAAAACAAAAAGUUUGCCGACGCCGUUUAAAAGAAAGGAAAAUGCUAUGAGCAUAUGCAGUUUUACAUUUCACACUCACUUAAAUCUUAGCACCGCCAUGACCACAGAAAUGAAAUUAUGUUUCCUCCUGCUGUUCUCAUGCCAAUUUGAGAAUAAACACCCUUUUGUCAUGGGAAGGAUAUAUUUCCCCCCAAAACCUGGUUAAUAAAAUGUGGAUCCAUAGCUAAACAUAUGCCUGCCUUGCUGGCAACCCACCCUGCAACUCUAAUGUUUUCAAAAAUAAGAAGAAAGGAUGUCUGCAGGAACCGACAUCAUCCUCCGUGGGUCCUGGCAUGCUAAUCACCAGCCCAACUUCUGUUGCUGGGCCUGUCUGCUCCUACCCCAUACGCUGCUGCUCUCUGGGUUGUCAGUUGGGGGGUCCUGGACUUUGGCUCACAAAAUCCACUCUGAGUUUUACCACUGUCUGUGGACAUUAUCUAGCCAAAGUUAUGCUCUUCAAAAUCCCAUGAGUUUCAGUGGGAGAAAUGUAAGCAUGUCAGUAAAAUCCUCAGGGUUUAAAAUCAUAUUAUUAUUAUUAUUAUUAUUAUUAUUAAUCGUUGACAGGAUCUUUUGGGUGCAGUGACCUCUGUUUCCAUUUGCUCCCUUGCAGAUUCAAGAAGAAAUCCAUCAUGUCCGCAGACUCCUGGCAACACUCAUAUGCCUUUGUCACGCCAACACAAUAUCUUUCCAGUUCAAUUUCAUUGACAUUUGCCGCUUGCUUUCUCAUGCCUUUCCCCUACUCCGGGCUCCUCUGCUCUGACCACACGUCCCAAACCAUUUCGCCCUUGCCCAUUCUUAUUAUUUAUUAUUUAUUGUAUACAUUUCCAAACUGUCCUUCAAUAGAAAUUUUCUGGGCAGUUUCCCAUCGUUCCUUUUCUCCUCCCUCCCCCCCCGCCCCGCCGCCGCCGCCCCGUUCCCUUUCAAUUCUCAAAGGAAAAGUUUGCCAAGAACUCUUCCCAUCACAGCCGCCUCUUCUGGAACCUGAUUGGCUGUGAGCUGUAAAUGGCUGGCAUUCCAUCUGUGGCCAAGCCCUGCAACGCAGUCCUUGUUGAUGGUGCUGAAAUGGACAGCUCCAUUCCUGCUUGAAGCAAGCAGGGUGUUCCUUCUUCCGCUUCUCUCGGAGCACACGCACGCACUCAACAACUUCCCAAAAUCCUGGGAACUGUAGUUCGUUAGAGGUGCCGAAAGCUGUUGGGAGACCCUUAACACACACACACAGGCAAACCAGAGUUUCUAGGAUUUGUGGGGAGCCACGUCUGUUUAAAGUUGCACAAGAGCGCUUUGAAUGCACCGUGUGGAUGUGCGGAUGUGGCAGGCAAACGCCACAUUUCCACAUAUUCAUGAACAUCGUGAGGACAGGCACCAUAGACCAAGCCACGCCCACUUCUUCUGGUGACGUUGGAUGCUCACUUCCUGUAGGGCGAGCUGGCUGGGGGAACUUUUUCAGUCCAGGGGCCACAUUGCCUCUCAUGGGCAGUGCCGGAUUUACAUAUAAGCUAAAGAAGCCCUAUAGCUUAGGGCCCCACUCUCUUGGGGCCCCCAAAAAAAAUUAUAGGGGAAAAAGCUGGAUGUACAUUUC
Non-coding RNA from Podarcis lilfordi (Lilford's wall lizard), 3782 nucleotides. The record is from the annotation of a GenBank genome assembly. Lineage: Eukaryota; Metazoa; Chordata; Lepidosauria; Squamata; Lacertidae.